RNAcentral lists this ribosomal RNA (253 nucleotides) under uncultured bacterium. Its description in RNAcentral is "partial 16S ribosomal RNA". It matches the Rfam family "Bacterial small subunit ribosomal RNA", at positions 524 to 776 of the family's 1533-position model. The record is from RNAcentral.
UACGAAGGGGGCUAGCGUUGUUCGGAUUUACUGGGCGUAAAGCGCAUGUAGGCGGGUCGUUAAGUUGGGGGUGAAAUCCCGAGGCUCAACCUCGGAACUGCCUUCAAAACUGGCGACCUGGAGCAAGAUAGAGGCAAGUGGAAUUACGAGUGUAGAGGUGUAAUUCGUAGAUAUUCGCAGGAACACCGGUGGCGAAGGCGACCUGCUGGAUCCUUGCUGGAGCUGAGGUGCGGCAUCGUGGGGAGCAAACACU